GGGGUUGUGGCUCAGUGGUAGAGCGCUUGCCUAGCAUGUAUGAGGCACUGGGUUCAAUUCUCAGCACCACA
RNAcentral lists this transfer RNA (71 nucleotides) under Marmota monax (woodchuck). Its description in RNAcentral is "tRNA.Ala". It matches the Rfam family "tRNA". Rfam says of the family: Transfer RNA (tRNA) molecules are approximately 80 nucleotides in length. Their secondary structure includes four short double-helical elements and three loops (D, anti-codon, and T loops). Lineage: Eukaryota; Metazoa; Chordata; Mammalia; Rodentia; Sciuridae. The record is from RNAcentral.